Molecule: ribosomal RNA, 253 nt
Filed under: uncultured bacterium
Lineage: Bacteria
Description: partial 16S ribosomal RNA
Rfam family: Bacterial small subunit ribosomal RNA
Source: RNAcentral
UACAGAGGGGGCCAGCGUUAUUCGGAAUUAUUGGGCGUAAAGGGCGCGUAGGCGGCCAUGCGUGUCUUCCGUGAAAUCCCUCGGCUUAACUGAGGACGUGCGGAAGAAACUGCAAGGCUUGAGUCCGGGAGAGGGGAGUGGAAUUCCCAGUGUAGCGGUGAAAUGCGUAGAUAUUGGGAGGAACACCGGUGGCGAAGGCGGCCCCCUGGACCGGUACUGACGCUGAGGCGCGAAAGCGUGGGUAGCAAACGGG